GACGUCAAGAUGGCGGCCGCAUCUAAGUGCCUGGAGCCGUGUUGGAAACCGUGGUUACCACAGUAAAUGCCAGCUUUCGCAGAUGGCCAGCGGACUGCUGCUGAAAUUACAUGCUCCAAAACCUCUUUCUCUUUUUAAUGGGGCAGCCUCCCAUGUGAAGAAACUUGGCCUUUCCAGUUUCCUCUCCAGAGAAAAUGAGAUUCCCCAGAGAACCAAGACCUGCAAAGACCCACAGAGGUGCAGCAUCACAAAGGCCUUAAAAUGCAUUGAGGAAGUACAAUCAUGAGCCUCACAUGGACAAAUUUCCAGAAGCAGACAGAAUCACUGGAGCGUGAUGAGUCAAAACGCUGGUAUAAAUAGCAUCAGCAAGGCGAAUCAUGAAUAAUGAAGGAGCCGCCCGUCCCACUGGAGCACAAGUCAUAGGCCUCAAAUAAUGUCAACACACAGUAACAAGGUCUUGUGUCUUACACAAAGCAUCCCCACUCUAAUGAAUACUUCAAAACCUUUCAUCGUCUGGGUGGGCUGGAUGGCCAGACUUUACAGUGGCACCUACAAAGACUGACUUUGUAUGUGAGAUUGUACACAUGAAUAGGCUACUGUGACUUUGACCAUCUUGUGUAUUUGGCACAGAUGGCAAACAUGCAUAAAAACCACAUAUAUUUUCCUCCUUUGACUUGCUCAAGCACGUGCUUGGGGAUAUAAUUAUUGUUUUGGUUGUAUAAAAGCUUAGCUUGAGGCGUAGUAGUAGAAAUUUAGUCUAAACCCAAAAAGUUCCCUCUUAAAAUCUUAAAGCGUACUUGCUUCAACAAGAAUUCAUAAGCAAACAUAAAUCACUGUCUUUUUCAAACAGAAAAAUAUAAUUUUCUGCAUCAUAAUUCUGGUCUUUCGUCACAUGAUCCUUCAGAAAUCAGUUUGAUCUUCUGAUUUAAUGCAUUUCUCAUUAUUAUCAGUGUUGAAUUGAGUUUAAAGAGAAGACUUUAUUUGAUACAGAUAUAAUUUGUAAUAUUAUCCACCUGAUUUUUCAACGUAGAAGUAAGCUGUUUUCUAUGAAUGUGUGAGACUUCCGGCUGCUGUAGGGGAAUAACUAUAAGAAUAACAGUAAGUUAAACACAAAAACUGUUUGCACUCCAAACCAGUUUGUUUAUAAGUAAGAUAAUACAUUAAAAUUUGCACCAGUUUGCAAUAUCAAGCAGCCAAACGAGCUGUUUUGUACAGCUAAUAAUUGCUGGAAGCGGAUGAGACCGGGAAGGCUCGCACAUAAAAUUUACAAAUGGCCACCUCCGCUCUAAGGGGAAAAAUAAGGUGAAUAAAAUGUCUU
Cyprinus carpio carpio is the source of this 1318-nucleotide long non-coding RNA. Lineage: Eukaryota; Metazoa; Chordata; Actinopteri; Cypriniformes; Cyprinidae. The record is from Ensembl.